This is a long non-coding RNA of Mustela lutreola (European mink), 14011 nucleotides long. RefSeq lists it as uncharacterized. The record is from RefSeq and is a predicted model, not a curated record. Lineage: Eukaryota; Metazoa; Chordata; Mammalia; Carnivora; Mustelidae. The transcript has 4 exons.
UCUGGCUGGGCUGGUCUGUGCGGAGCGGGGGAGGUGAGUCAGCCGGCUCUGGGAACGGCCAUGCCUCCAGGGUCAGCAGGUCCCAGGAGUCAAAGCCCAGACCCUCCCGCAGGCCGGCAGACUCCUGGCUUGCCGGCAGCACGCCCCCGUUGGGGAGAACGCUGGAGGCCUCCAUCCUCACUCCUUUAGCUUGCCUCAUCGCCGGUGGCGUCCCAACCCCGUGGGCAGGGGCCUCCGGUCUCUACCACCUGCUGUUCCUUCUGCCUGGACACUUGCAUUCCUGCCUCCUCACUGUCUUUACGUAUGAGCCGAAAGUCAGGCUGGUAAGACCCAGGGGUCCUGUUACCCUCUCCCCUGGGGUGUGUAUGGCUCUCAGGGCGCCAGUGCAUUCCAUGUGCAUUUGACUUGACGUUUAACCUGUUUGGAACAGAACCGUUUCCAAGACACCUUCUGUGAGAGAAUUGGGGCCAUUUUACAGAUUGGGAAAUUGAGGCACAAGAAACCCACCGACCCACUCAGCUCAUCACCAGGCCACUGACAGCCUCAUGUCCUGGGGCCUUUCCUUCUGCUCUCCGGUCCGGACUGCGGGUGGACGCUGCCUCGGGCUCUGCCUUUCUGCAGGCUGCCGUCCCCAGAGAGGUCGUGUUUGUGCUGCUCCGGGCUCCAGUAAAACCACUUCCCAUGUGCGGACGCUUGACGUCAGAUAAGGCUCGAAAUACUGGGCGGCAUGUUGUACCCCGUGUGUAGAUUGCAACUAUCAGGGAGUCCGGCCUCGGGGUCUGCAUGUGGGAAAGCCCGUCCGCCCAGCGCCUCGGGUCUCAGGCGCCGCCCGUAGCUGUGUUCUCUGCUCCGCUUCCCUUGCCGUGGAAGACGGGGUCCUCGGUAUAAACCGUGAUCCGGAAUGACGACCUGUCUGUGGCCUUCGUCAACAUCUCAGCGAGUUUGGCAGUUCAGAGGCAUAGGAGCAGUUUUUCGCGCUUGAACACGUCUUUCUUCAUAGCUUCGGUUUGCAGAACAAAUGUUUCCGUGUGCUUGUGCUUCCUGAAAUGUCAAAAAUCCCACAAGUAUGAAAACAGUUAUUCUCAAAGAAGGGGUCUUUGACGAAGGACAGUUGCUCACCGUGACUCUGGCUUUGCGAAGUGCUGUGCCACAUUCCAUCCGCUGCGUGCGAAGACAGAGAUCUUGGUUAGCGAGGUGGAGGCCAAGUCCCCAAAGGGGAGAGUCACCCUGAGGAGGGCACCCCGGCCGGGCCUGUGAGCCUGCACUGUCACGUCCUCGUCGGUGGAGAAGCAUGUGACCCUGUGGGGUGAAGACAGCCUUCCCCGGCCGGCCUGGCAGCUGGCGACAGCCAUGGGGCCGCGUCGGUCCGGAGAGCUGCAGGCAGAGCCAAACAGGUCCUGUGGGAGGACCCGGAGGGUCCCGGGGCAGGAGGGCGGGAGGUCUGAGAAGAGGCCUGGGAGGAAAUUGAUUCCCUAGAGAUGACAACGUCCCCCUGCAGCGGGGGCGUGUCCCCCGAACCCAGAGCCGCAGCCAGUGGGUUAGCAGGACGUGGUGCCUCGCGUGGAGACGGGCCGGUCGGACCAGGAUGCUCGCCGCCCCUUCCCUCCCUCUCCCCUCCCCGGCCCCUCCCUGUCCUGCUGGCCGCAGGCUCCUGGGCAGAGCCUCUCACACGGCCGGGUGGGUUCCCAUGUCUCAUUCGGCCUCCGAGGUGAGUGGCGCAGCAGGCGUGGAUGGCGUGGGCAGACCUGCGCCUGCCCGUGGACCCGUCCCCAGCAUUGCACCUGGACCCACGCACGUGGACCUGUGGCUGCAGGUGCAUCCGUCCCUCUUCCCACCACGCCCGCGUGCACAGACGCCAGCUGCGGGGCCGGGACCCGGGGCCGCUCUGCUGUGCACCCGACGUUCUCGCUUUAGCAAACAGGGAAGCUGUUUGGGGCGAGGGCUCUUGGCCUCUCAUAACAGACGCUGGAGAUCCCUUAUCUGGCUUCCUCACUUCAGGGCAGCGGUCGUAAGAGGACCCUUGUACGUAUUUUCAACCUUGAGUUGAUGAGGCCAGGAACGCAUACUGGAUCCGGGGCCUUUUAUGAGCUACUUGACUUUGAAGCCUCCGUGGCGAGGGCGUGUCCCAUAGAGCACGGGGUGGGGGCUGGGAUUUGUGUCCGGAAGGUCGUACGGGGUGUGCGGUCCUCGACCCUGGGCGUGUUUGUGUAGUUACAACUGAAACGGUGUGUAUUUCGCUCACUGUGUCUUUUUAGGGUGCUCCCCACCGAUCACCCAGAACGAGCCCAAUUCCUUGUACAGGGGCAUCCUUCGAGCCAGGAAUCAAGGUCUUGCUGACGUGCUGCUCCGCUGGGCCAGUCCCCUCUGACCUGGCAACCGUGUCCCACUUCAGCCACUUGUAGCCCGCACUGUCCUUGCGGCUGGGGUCUGGGAUGGGCUGACGCAGGUCACGGUUUCCCCAGCACAUAGGUUACAUCCCAUGACAUGAGAAGGCAGUGGACCAGAGCCAUGGGCGUGGGUUCUGCCGUGACCCUGGGAGGGGCUCCGCUGCCCUCAGCCUCCCGUUUCCCCCCUUGGCUGUUUAUAGGGACAUAGCCUGUGGGGCAAAGCUUGACCCUUCUGGGAGGUUUUCCUUAGGGUUGGGAGAGUGAACACAGGUGGAGUGCCCAGCGCGGGUCUGGCACCGGGUGAGGCCACUGAGCGCCGGCUGUGUUCGCAAGGGCACGGGGCGUUCUGCUCUGGAACCUGCAGCCUUCCCGCCGCAGGGGGCAUGGUGGUGGGCAGGUGCGCCUUCCCCAGCCCCAGUCCCUCAACAUCUGACAACACUGGGUAAACAUAGAGUGUGGAUUCUUUUAGGAAGGUUAGGGAAUCCGUCUUGCUGCUCUGAGAACCAGAUCCUGGAUUGCAGAUGGGGUUUUGUGGAAAGCUGGCGGUGGGUCCAGAGGCCAACUCGGUUGUGGGGGGAAGGGCACUGCCGACCUGUGUGUCCCACUACAAGACCACAGCUCCACAAGUCCAGGUGUGGACACGUCUGACCCCUGAGGAAGAGCACGAGAACCCUGUGCUGGGCAGCUCACCCCCGUCUGAGUGCGCACAGGUCGUGGGACAGCGGGUCCUCCGUGCUCCCCGAGACUCGGGAGUGUGGUGCUGCGCAACACACACUCGCGUCUCUCCGGGCACACGGCUGGCAUGCGUGCGCCGUGUGCGACUUAGCCGUGUAGGUGCGCCGACAGUGCGGGCGAGGCCUGCCCGUGUGUUGGCGGGGUCAGUCGCCCUCAUUCACUGACAAGAACUCGGGACAAGUUCUUUCCCCUUCUCAGCCGGGGCUUUGUCGUCUAUAGAACGGGGUUAAUGAGACAAGCCCUCUCGAGGGUCCCCGGGAACGGCACCCCGCUGUCGGGUCCUCGCUGAGCCGGGCUGCCGGAGGCUGUCGGGGCACAGCUGUCGGGGAGCGCACGGGAGGCCGGGGCCCCUUCCCCUCCGCAGAGCACAGGCCUCUGGUGUUUCUCGUGCUCUGUGGCGACGGAGCGGCCUCCUUCCCUUUGGUGGGUCCCGCGGCCUCUGUUUGGUCUGGAGACUCUCCGGGUCCGUGGCCGAGGCUUCCGUGGGUGCUCGCCCGCCCCACUCGGACCGGCCUGGCCCCUUCAUUCCGCUGUCGCUCUGAUGCAGAGAAUGUCUUCACGGCCGGUCUCACGUGCCCAGAGUGAGACUUCGUUUCGUCAGGAAGCGCGAACUCCUGCGUCCCUCAGCCGUGGGAGGCUUCGCGGAGCAGACAUGGGCGGCAGCUCAGCCUGGGCUCCAGCUCUGCCCUCUGGCCGGCGUCUGUGGGAGCGGCUCCGUCUCCUUCCUCUGUCACCAGGAGAGACUCGUGAAGAAAGUGACCACGUGAGUGUUGCUGGGCUGCACCCCCGGCCUGGGCAGGGCGUGAGGCGCUGGUGCGGACCGCAGGGGCCCCGGCGACCCUUGGCAGACGCGCCUCCGGCUUUAAGCAGUGCUCGUGAAGAGUCACGCUCGGUUGCCUAGAGGUGGCGAUGACGAGGGGUCCGCGGCCCCGCACAGGCACAGGAGAACACCUGGUGGCCCUGUGACUUCUGCAGACACUCUGUGCUUGACUGGCGUGAAGUGUGGAAGCGGCUUCCCGGGUAGAGACCCUUGCUGGGAAACCAGGACGAGGAUGUGGAGUAGAUUCCGAUGUCACGGACGGGGGGCAGGUGUGUGCUUGUCGUGGGCCCCGUUUUCAGGGACAGGCCUCAGGGGCCAGCUGCCUGGGGGUCGGGAGGGCUUUCUCCGGCCAGCCGGGGACCCCGAGGAGCAUGUGUGCUGACCCGACUAUCAUCCGCUCCGUCCACAGUCAGAGGCAAGGAUGCAGCCAGACCUCAGCGGGCAGCCUUACCCGAAAGGUGUGUCCAGGAGUCUCUCCUCUUAGAAUCAUCUUCCACCUUAGGAUGAGAAGCUCUCGCUGAAGCCUGCGGACAAGCAGGCUGGCCCAGCUCUGUCUGUCUGCCGCAUUUCGCAGCUGCGCCCCCUCGCCAGCCCCGAGCCACGUGCAGCGGCUUCCUUAUGAGACCCGAUUCCCCGAACCCUUGUGUCUACUGCUACUGCAGCUCAGCAGUGAAGACGGUUUCUGGGAGGAGGAGACAUUAUCGCUUGAUCGACGUCGCAAGUUCUUACCUGAUUGUCCCCCCACGGUUUCUCCCAACCUGACGGCUGCACAAGGCGCCCCGGGGGGCCAGCCUGCCUCCACCACAGGCUGGGGGGAAUUGCCCUGAUGGCUUUUCCACCAAGGUCUGAGGCGGCUUGCCGCUGGGAGAGGGCGUAGUGGGGGUGAUGACGAUGGCACCUUGGGAACCCGGGUCAGGACACUCUGGGCAGGGUUGAGGGCCAGCCUGCGAGGAGCACACGGGCAGACGGGGGGCCCCGUUCUGUCUUGGCUCAGCCGGGGCCGGACCAGGGCUGGCCCUGCCAGUGGCCUUUUCUCUGGUUCCACGAGUUAGCCUGAGACCUUGCACUGGGGGCUGUAACUUGCGGCCCCGGCCCUGGCCCGUCCCACUUGUCCCUCAGUGUGUGAUCUGAACCGGGCCCUCCCCCUGCAAACCGUGGGGGCGUCCGCCUGUACCUGGCCACGCCUGGGCAGAGUCUGCCAGGAAACCUGCCCCUUGGGGGUCCUCAAAGCCACCGUCCUGCUGCCCGUCCCCAUCACACCUCCAGAAACAGGUCCCUGCUGACCUGUCUCCCUUCCGCGUGCACAGACGCCCCAUCUACAAGCCGGGAAUCUGCUUUUCCUUGAGAAAAUGGCUUUGAGUCACAGCAAUGUCCACUCCGAAUCGGGGCUGAGUGUGGCUGGUGUGGAGACCUCGCGCUGCCGCACCGCAGGCUGCUGGUGGGCUGUGGCUGGGUGGGGACAGCUCCUGGCUCCGGUUUCCAGAUAGGCUCCCUGCCGUGUGAUGCCGUGCGGCUGCCAGCCUCCUCUGCGGGGUCAGCCCCCGGGACAGGCUUCAUCUAUCCCGUUUGCCCGCACUCCUGCACCGCACAGCAGCUCUCGGAGAUGCUCAGUCAGCAUUUGGGGAGUAAGAGAAUUAAAAAAUGAAUGACUCGGUCUAGGGAGAGGACAGAGCUUUGGUGCUGGUCGCACCGUCUUACGAAUAUUUUACCCCACGAAUGAAGGAGGGGUUAAAUCUAGAAAGUGUCAUCUUCAAGCUAAAAAAAUAGGGUUUAUCGUAAUGACUUUGGGAUAGAGAAAGAUUUCCUACGAAGCCCACUAAAGACAGGCUGUACAGAAAAAUACUGAUGCGCGUCAGCAAGACCACGCUGUAGACAUCUUACGUAGACCACGGGGAGUACAAGCUACUAGUGGGCACAGGAUAGUUACAAAGAACGUCACGACGUGUACGAUGUGAAGAGGUUCGCAGAGCCUGUGGAAAGCGCACAACAAAAUGACGGGCAGAGGACGGGACAGGCCGUGGCCAGAGGACGCACCCCGCAUGGCGAACACGCGGAGAGAAGAUGCUCGUGUGGCUGCAGCUCCGGAAACGCAGAGGCGACCCCCGGGGGGUAAUUUCAUUUUGGAAUUGAGAACAUCGGAAGCUGCCCAUCAAGGGGGAAGGCAUAGCCUGUUUGCGCAGUCACCUGUGGCCUUCCCAAUGUUGUCACACUCAUAACCAGGAGUGAAAGGCCCCACGGCCGGUGGCGCCAAGACACAGCCCCAGAGCCCCGUUGAAUGCGGGUUUGCUUUAGAAGCACGAGAUGCUCCAACGGGAGACCUGGGGCGGCGGGGUGGACCGGCUUUGCUGGGCAGAGACUGUGGCUCAGCGGAAAGUUUCGGCGGGGCUGGCGGACAAGGCCCCGUGGCCGGGUGCGGGCCGAGGGGCCGAGCAGGGUCUGCUUGGGAAAGCGAGCUGGGGGCGCCGGUGUGAGGAGCUGGUGGUGAGGAGAACGUUCACGAGGCCUUGCUCACGAACUGUAAGUUUAGUUUUAUUUUGUUUGAUAAGGAAACUGGUUUUUACACAUUUAAUUUCAGCUUUCCAGUUUUAUUUUACUUUUGCGGUUGGAAGUGUUACUCUAAAUGGAAGUUGUUUUACUGCUCACGGGAUUGCCACGGAUCUGGCCCCAGACGCAGCUCUGUGGGCGAGCCCCCGGGUUCGGGGCAGAGCCGAAGAGAACGGGCGCCGCGCCCGCCCCCCGUGCUCUGGCAGCGUCGGGUCUCUGUGGGAGACGCUCUGCCACGGGCUGACGGUGUCAGCAGGGGGAUCGUUCCGGGCCGACACUUGGCAAAGGCCGUCCUCAGCCAAAUGCGGUUUUGAAAGGAUUUGAUCUGUCAUUGCACUUGGCUCCGUUAGCGGAGGGAAAGAGACAACAGUUUAUCUCGCUUCUGAUUCUGUGAUCAUUUCAGUUUCAAUCUAAAUGCCGUGACCCUGGCAGGUCGCGGGCUUCCGGCACGGAGCGGCGUUUCGGCGACUUUGGGAAAAGAAACCCCAUUCACACGAGUCAGAGUUUUAUGAGCGGCUGCCCCCUUUCCCGCCGUGGCUGUGCUGUGAUGUUGACCCAACACGACACACAGCUCCCUCUGUCCCCUGCUGGACGGUGGCCCGGCGUCUUCGGUCUGUGGAUCGAGAUCACUCAGCGCCGGAGAGCUCAGGGCAACAAGAAGCCUCUGUUCCGGCGACGACGGGCUCUGAGCAGAAAGGGUCCCUGCGCGCGGGCUGGGUGAUGAAUCACAGGCCGGCGCCCGGACAGAGAAGGGUCUUUAAUAAGGCCAUCCCGGUGGGUGGGGCGGAGCCCAGGGCCGGUUCUGCUUCAGUGGGUGAACUUGGAGGGAACCCCGUCCCACGACCGCCUCUGGCACCCGGAGCCCAGCCGUCCUCACAGCCACCUCUUCCCGGCUUCCAGGACCCCGGCACCUGGCUUUGAGUAAGGGGCCGGUCGGCACUCUUCCACUCUUGGAGGACGCCCCCUCCUCUACACACUCGGAACCGAGAGCGUGGUUCCAGCAAGGAGACAUACUCCGAGGCCGCCUGUGGCACUCGGUUUCGUCCUCAGUCCUGGCUUUUUUUGGCUUUGAACUCCGCGCUGCUUGGAUGGCUCCCCAGAAGGAAGGGGAAGGAUCCCUGAUGUCCAGCACCCCAGGGAAAGUGUGUCCAGGGACAGCCUCUGCGAGGCCGGGGCCCUGGAGCUGCUCUGAUCACCCCCAGUGGGGAGGGUGGGGGUCCCCCCUAAGUAGUGUGACCUCUGACCCCAGCCCCCAACCCAGGACAGGCAAGAUGGGCAGCAGGUACCAAGUCACAGGUACGGCCUGGGGAGGAGGGCCCUGCCUGCCUCGCAGGGGCACACAGGCUGUCCCGGGACCCACAUGACAUGGCUGGGGCCACGGGACAAGUCUUGGUAGUGACAGGGUCAUAGGUCGCCCUGGCAGAUCGGGGAGGGGGCGCAGCUAGGGGGCUAGUUUGAACAUUCUAGGUCCCGGGAGCAACCCAGAAGCCAUGAGCCUCCACCUCAGGGAGCCAGCCCUGAGCAGCCUUUCCCGCCGAGGGCAGGGGACUCGCAGUCAGGCCCCGGGGACGGCGUUUCGGUGCGCCUUUAGACGUCUGUUUUGCCGGCCAUGGUGAGAUCUUCUGAAGGUGGCCUGUUGUUCACGUCAGUGCACUGAAGUCUCUGUCUCAGAGCGUCAGCAGAGCAGAAGCCGAGAGGGACCCCUUCCUCCUCCUCCUCAGGCACAUUCCGCAAAGUAGCGCUUGGCCCAGACCCCGGCGGCAGAAGCAGGGCUGGGAUCGCGCCGCUGGGGGUCCCAGGGCUCUCCCCGUCCGGGCCCCCUCUCUCCAGCCGCUGCCCCCGUGGUCUCCCACCCCAGCCGGCCCCGCUUCCUCCCUCCAGCCAGUGUCUCUGGGCCUGUCUUCAGAGUUCCAUGCGUCUGGCCUGGGACAUGUGGGCGUCCGGAGGCUCGUGCAAUGAAACCCCUCCCUUCUAUGCGUGGGUCCCCACUCCCACAUCUGUGUCCUGACGAGCCCCUCCCACCGCUGUGUUAAGUGGGACGCAGUGUGGGCAGGUCUGGCCGGUGGCUGUGUGGCGGGGAACAGGGGUCCCGUCCAGAGGGUGGCCGGCCUGGGCUUCCGUGAGGACAGGGGCUCUCCCGUGGGCGAGGGCCACUCGGCACCGAAGCUCUCCAGGGCAGCCGAGUGCUGCGCGGCCUGGUUCUGCCGGGCAUGUCUGUAAGCAGGGCUGUAGCGGGCUGAGCUCCGCAGCAUAGGGUAGGGAAGGGGCGGCACAGUUCGGAAGCGGGUGACGAGCAGGAUCCGGGUGCAGACCCAGGUGCAGACACAGGGCGUCACUUUGUGUCCUUGACGGAGGCGCGGGCCGUGGCUGGUCAGCUUCCCUGUCUGUGGGGUGACGAGUUUGGCUCCGCGGCCCCGACGCGCGUGCGGUUUUAACCUGCUUGUUGACGGCCCAGCCCAGAGGCCAGGGCCGGUGCUAGCGCCUGUCCCCACCUUUCUUGCCCUGUCCUGGAGGCGCUUGGGUCCUGCUGUCUCGGCAUACGCGGAUUCUGACCAUAGUAUAGAUUGGUGGGAAAUGACUCUUCUGUUCAAACUAGUGUUAUUUGAGCUCGCAGUGAUUCAUUUUAGUUUCACGUUCCAGGCCGCGUGCUCCCCCACAACCGUGUGUGGAGAGCGAGGCCCUGCCCCAGGUGCCUCUGCCCUCGGCGCGUCUCUCCAGGACGCUCGCAUGGCACUCGAGGAGGCAGGGUGGGUGGCGCAGGCUCUCGGACCAUGGGCAGGGGCGAGACCCGGAGCUCACCCAGCACCACCCUGUCCCCCAUGCCUGUGUGGACCUGUGUCCAGGGGCUUCCCGACCUGUGAGGCCAAGAGGCUGUGAGGUGCUGUGGGGGCCCCACUGGGCAGCUGCCCCGCCCGAGCCAGGACCCAGUCCGCCCGCAGCCGGCUGCUUGGGGUGUGACACACUGUGCUAAUAUUUACCGGGCUGUCGAUUCUUACUUAGAUCCUUCCUGAAAACGUCUCUCGAGUGUUCCCCUGCACGCAGCGCGUCAGGUUUCCCCGGAUGCCCGGCUCGCCUGUGGUUUUCUACACACUCCACCUGCCUCAGUAGAACUCGCCCGCCCUCUUGUCACUCUUCGCUCCGUGGGGCCCACCGGGCGCGGCCUAAGGGGCUGGUCUACGUGACACGUCACAUGCGGAAAAGAGAAGCGUCAGUGAGCCAACCCAUGGCUUCCACGAGCUACGCACGUCCGCGCCCGCCCUUGCCCGGACUUCCUGUGAGCGAGUGAAGCUGCGAGGAGCAUGGAGGCCUGUUUUCUUGGUCUCCUCAGUGCCAUGUCUGUGACCGUUCAGCAAUGGUUGAGAAAGGAGCCUUGGUUGGAGGUUUUUGUUGAUGGCCGUGGUGCAAACGCGGACUUCGAGCUCCCUGCGUGAGCCGCUGACAAGGGACGGGCUGGGCGCCUCUCGCAGACCAGCUGCUGCUUCGCUGCCCGCUCACCCGAGGGACAGACGACCCGCCGGUUUUGCGGUGAUGUUUCAGGCUUCGUCUUCCGCGUGAGCGCUGACCCUGGGAAGUGUGGCUGCACGGGCGGGGUGAAGCAUUGAAGGACUUGUGGAAGACCAGUCAGCCCCUCCUAUGGCUCCCGGGGGCGAGCUUCCUUCCACGUGUCCUUCUUCUGACCACUUUCUACCCAGCCGUAGAGAAGCCCUCCGGCACCUGGCCGAGGACCCCGGGACGGGAAGGGUGGGCCCUGAGAAACUUGAGCCCUCCCUAGCUCCAAGUCAAGAGAUGUAAGCUGAGAUGGCGGCUCCACGCCCCUGGGAGCUGUGCUGUCCCAGCUCUAGAGCCCGUGCUUCACAAGCGACACGAGAGCCGGGUCCUCACGCUGCCCUCACGGCUACAGCUCUCAGCCUGCUGGGAGGCUGACACCUCUACUCCGUCACCAGGUGGAGCCAGCUCGUCAUGGUCCCAGCUUCUCUCCCUGUCCUCCACAGUCCCCCUCAGGCUCAUAUCUUGAUAAUGAGUCCUUGGACACGUAUCUAACUGCCUAUUUGACCCCUGCGGGACACCUGAACACAGCAUAUCCUGAGCCCACUGAGAAGAGUGCCCACCACUCAAGACCCUGGGUUUUCUCUUGGAAUCUUCAGGUGCCCAGAAAAGAGAUUGUUCAUUUUUAUCAAUUUAUUAGUCACUUUAUAGGUCAACAGACUGUCAGCCCCCUGAGAUGAUCCAUGAAAAGAGCAAGGACCAGGACUGACUAGAAGGAACAGGGUGAAGACAUGGACGACCAACAUCAGGAAAGAGACAGGUGGCAUCACUACAGAGCCUACAGACACUAAUGGAAGAAUCAGGGACUAUUAUGAACAGCUCUCAUGCCCGCAUUCUCUCUGGGCUUCCACCGGACUGUUUACCCCUCUUCCUGCCAGUGCCACAGUCAGCUAACUAUGGUAGCUUUGUAGUAAGUUUCCAAAUCAAACAGCUUAAGACCUCCAGCUUUGUGCAUUUUCUUUAAGAUGGACAUGGUUUUCCAGGUCCUUUGCAUUUCCACAUAAAUUAUAGAAUCGGUUUGUCAGUUUCUACAAGAGAAUUCUUUGGACUUUGACGGAAAUCCCUUUCAAUCCAUAGAGAAAUAUAGAGAGAAGUGGACAUCUCUUUUCUUUUCAUUUUCCAAUCCAUAACUGUGUUACACUAUUCCCUGUAUUUAGGUCACCUUUAAUGCCCCUCAGCAGCGUCUUCUUUUAAAGACUAGGUUUUGCACCUAUGGCAUGUAUUUUGAUGCUAUUGGUAUUGUUUUAAUUUCAUCUUCCAGUGACUUUGUUGGUAGCACACAGGAAUACUGUUAAUGGAAUUUUGUAUAUUGGUCUUGUAUCCGUGGCCUUGCAAAUUUAAUUCUAAUAUUUUGUAGACUACUUGUAAAUUUUGAUGUAUAUAAACAUUUGUGAACAAUGUCAAUUUUGCUACUUUCCAACUUUACAUUUAUGCAUGCAUUUCUUUAUUUAGAUCUGUGCUUUCUCUUAUUGUUCUGGGUAGGACCCAUAGAGCAAUUGUUUAAUGGAAGUGGUGAGAGCACAUUCUUGUCUGUUCCUGACCUCAGGGGGAAACUGUUCAAUAUUUCACCAUUAAGGUUGAUGUAGCAGCUGUGGGGUGUACGCAUGCAUGUGUGCAUGUGCGUAAGGUGCUCUUUAAUUAAUGACGUGCUUUCUAGUUCUAGUUUGCUAUGGGUUUGAAAUAGGAACUAGUAUUGAGUUUUAUCUUUCUGCAUCUAUUGGCAGGAUUACACAGUUUUCUUUAUUUUAUUAAUGUGAGCGAUUUUUGUUUAUAUUCCUAACAUUUUAUCGCAAAUAUUUUCAAACAUAAAAAAAUGGAAAGAAUUGUACAAUGAACACUCACUGCCUGCUUAGUUUUCUGUAUUUGGUGUAUCACCUCUCUAUCUCGUCUAUCAGUUUAUUACAAAUUUUGACGUAUUCCAAAGGAAGUUGACAGCAGUACACUGGAUUCUUAAAUAUCUCAGUGUCUACGUUACUAGGUAGAGUUGAAUACUUACGUCUCCUUUUGUUUUGAACUAAAUGCACAGCUUUUGAGUGCACCAUCUAGUUAUUUCUGACAAUGCACGUGUGAAAUGUGAACCUGGAUCGAGAGACAGGAUUCUCUCACCGCCUCAGAGAACUCUUUCCUGCCCCUUCCAGUCAAUGCCACCUCACACUGCUCCCCCAUACCAUGUUUGGAUUUUCUCCCUCUAUAUAGGAUGGUUUAAUUUGUUCUAUGGUUUUACUUAAAUAGUGUCAAAUAGCCUGUCCUUUUUAUGUUUGGCUGCUCUCAUUUGAGAUCAAGUCUUUGAGAUCUGUCUGGGUGGUUGUGUGUGUUCGUGAUUCAGUCCUCCUGUUGCCCAGCAGUCUUUCUGGCCCUGACAUAUUUCUUUGUCCAUCCAUUCUCCUGUUGGUGGACGCCAAGGCUCCCUCUAACUGUUUGUUGUCACGAGUGAAGCCACCAUGAACAUUCGUGGACGCGUCCCUGGGUGGGUACACACUGUUGUCGUUCUCUGGUGCAUAACCCGAGUGGGCUCCUGGGUCAUCAGAGUGGGCUCCUGGGUCAUAGGGUAGUUGUCCAUUUAUUUUUAUAAGUUGUGUUCUGACAUUCCCCAAAUGGUUGUAUCAGUUCACAUUCCUGCCAAUUCCCUUGGCUCCUCAUCCUCCGAAUGUUUGGUGCUGUCAGUCGUUUUCACUUUAGCCAUCGUGAGGGGUGACUGGUUGCGGUUUGAAUUCGCACAUCCUUAACGAGUAGCAAGACCAAGAUUCGGGCGUGCUUGGUACCCAUUCAUGUACUCUUUACUGAAGUAGAUGUUCAACCGAAUGCCCGUGUUUACUGUGGUCUUUGUUUCUACGAAAUUGCAGAAGUUGUUUGUUCUUCAAAUACUCUGAGUACCAACUCAUUGCCACAUACAUAGAGAGGGUGUUUUCUCCCAAAACAUGGUUUGACUAUUCAACUGAAAGUUUAAGUUUUGAGGAUUUCUAUCAGUUUUUAAUGGUUAUUUCUUCUUGUAUGUGGCCUACCAGGAGGAUGUGAAGGUACUCUGCUGUACUGACUUCUAGAAGCUUCAUGGCUUUCAUGGUUGCAUUUAGGUCUGUGAUCCAUCUUGAGUUAAUUUUCAUGUGUGCUGUGCGGUCAGGCUCAGGUUCCUUUUGUUUGUUAGGGCUACCCCUUUAUUCUGGAGCCCUGUAUUGAAAAGACUCGAAUCCCUGCAUGAGACUGUGUGAGUCCUCUGUCAAAACCCAGCCAUGCCAGGGUGUGUGGGUCUGUUGAAGUACUUGUUAGUGUGUCUGGCACCAUGCUCUGUGGUUCCCGAAGGCCUUCCUGAGUCUUGACAUCAGACAGAGCCGCUCUUCAACGUUGUUCCUUCCCAGUACCCUGGCUAUGCUAGGUCCUCUGCCUUUUUAAAUAAAAAUUUUCUAAUUAGCCAAUCAAUUCCUACAGUGAAGACUGCUGGAAGUUUGAAAGUGUUACGUAGAAUAUAGAUAUAUUUGGGGAGAAUAGAUAUCUUAUUUAUGUUGCAUUUUCUAAUCUAGAACAUUCUACAUCUCUCCCUUUACUUGAGUCUUCUUGACUUUGUCUCAGAAUUGUUAACACUAUACAGCGUGGAAGUUCUACAUGUUAAAAAAACACAUUGUUUAUGUUUUGGGUGUUUUUUUUUUUUUUUUUGAUGCUAUUGUAAAUGGAAACUUUAAAAUCCUAUUUUCUAAUUGUUUGCUGCCAGCAUAUAAAAACACACUUGAUUCUGAAUUUUGACCUUAUAUCCUAAAUUCACCUAUAGUUUCUAAUGGUCGUUUGAACAAUGUUGACUAGAAGUGGUGAGCUUGAACACCGUUGCCUUGUUUCUGAACUUGUUGGGACGAUUCGUUAAAUGCUUUUUAUUUUACUACCAAAAUGAUAACUUCUUUUCUUCUCUAGUGUGCUAAGAUGGUGAACCAAGUUAGUUGAAUCUUUAAUGUUGAAUGUCUUGCAUUUCUAGAAUAAAACCUCUUGAGCAUGA